This 371-nucleotide ribosomal RNA is filed under the name uncultured bacterium. RNAcentral's name for it is "bacterial SSU rRNA". It matches the Rfam family "Bacterial small subunit ribosomal RNA", at positions 527 to 896 of the family's 1533-position model. The record is from RNAcentral.
GUAGGGUGCGAGCGUUAAUCGGAAUUACUGGGCGUAAAGCGUGCGCAGGCGGUUUGGUAAGACAGAUGUGAAAUCCCCGGGCUUAACCUGGGAACUGCAUAUGUGACUGCCAAGCUAGAGUAUAGCAGAGGGGGGUAGAAUUCCACGUGUAGCAGUGAAAUGCGUAGAUAUGUGGAGGAAUACCGAUGGCGAAGGCAGCCCCCUGGGUUAAUACUGACGCUCAUGCACGAAAGCGUGGGGAGCAAACAGGAUUAGAUACCCUGGUAGUCCACGCCCUAAACGAUGUCAACUAGGUGUUGGGGAAGGAGACUUCUUUAGUACCGCAGCUAACGCGUGAAGUUGACCGCCUGGGGAGUACGGUCGCAAGAUUA